RNAcentral lists this long non-coding RNA (708 nucleotides) under Helianthus annuus (common sunflower). RNAcentral's name for it is "hypothetical non coding rna". Lineage: Eukaryota; Viridiplantae; Streptophyta; Magnoliopsida; Asterales; Asteraceae. The record is from RNAcentral.
AUCCCAAUCCAAUCCCCAUCCCCUUCUCUCGUAUCAUUUUCCUUUUCCAACUUUUCCUUUGUAACUAGUAUGAGUGUUAGUGAGUAAUCUCCUUGCUAAAGGAGAAUAUUAUGUAAAUAUCAAGAAGUUCUUCCUUAGGGAAGAACAGUUAUGAAUAAAUAUCAGUUUCCUUUUUAUCCCUUUGUUCAUCUUUAAAGAUUUUUGCAAAACCUGGAGCCCUGGAGCCAUAAAAGUACCGUUUAGGCAGGAGGCCGCGUAGGGAAGAAUUGGUUGGGUUGGUCACUUGGAAAAAUCAACUUAAAGAUUUACCUAGUCGAAAAAAGAGGAAAGAUUGUUAAAUGGAUGGCGGUGACCCAACUCGGCAUGGUGCUCAAGAACGAGAGAAAUAAGGUUAUAUGAAUAGAAGGUCACCAAUGCUCCAAUCACCAACGAUAAAACUCCGGCAGUCCAUCCUAGUGAUGCAAAUGCAAAUGGUAGACUUAACAACGGCGGUGCUACAAUGGACGUCGUCAAAUGAUAUCCGCUAUGCCACCAUGACCCUGCCACGUAUUACAUUAUAUCCAUUAAUAACUUGAAUUGGAUAAAUAAUUCUAGGGUAAGUUGUAACAAUGCAAACCAUAAGUUAAUGGUUGUACUCGAUUCUUAGUUGCAUCAUUACACGUUGUCUAGGUGGCGUUUGGUUGAUAUAUAUAAAUGAAUCCAUGUAUU